UAAAAGACAAAAGAUUUCUUUGUCUUCUAAUUUUCCCUCAUCAAGUAUGCAGGGGAAAAUUAGAAGACAAAGAAAUUCAACUAAAUUUCCCCACCCGGGGAAAUUU
This is a non-coding RNA of Paramuricea clavata, 106 nucleotides long. The record is from the annotation of a GenBank genome assembly. NCBI's taxonomy places the organism in Eukaryota, Metazoa, Cnidaria, Anthozoa, Malacalcyonacea, Plexauridae.